RNAcentral lists this ribosomal RNA (253 nucleotides) under uncultured bacterium. RNAcentral's name for it is "partial 16S ribosomal RNA". It matches the Rfam family "Bacterial small subunit ribosomal RNA", at positions 524 to 776 of the family's 1533-position model. The record is from RNAcentral.
GACGAACCGUGCGAACGUUGUUCGGAUUCACUGGGCUUAAAGGGCGCGUAGGCGGGUUACCAAGUCCGGGGUGAAAGCCCCCAGCUCAACUGGGGAAGUGCCUCGGAUACUGGUGACCUCGAGGGGGGUAGGGGCGGGCGGAACUUCCGGUGGAGCGGUGAAAUGCAUUGAGAUCGGAAAGAACACCAACGGCGAAAGCACUCUGCUGGGCCGACACUGACACUGAGAGACGAAAGCUAGGGGAGCAAAUGGG